GGCCUCGUAGCUCAGCUGGUAGAGCAUGCGCGUACAAAGCGUAGGCGGCGUCCAUGCGUGGGUUCGAAUCCCACCGAGGCUA
Non-coding RNA from Echinostoma caproni, 82 nucleotides. NCBI's taxonomy places the organism in Eukaryota, Metazoa, Platyhelminthes, Trematoda, Plagiorchiida, Echinostomatidae. The record is from Rfam.